AUGCCAUGAUGAGGACACUUCACCAGCAUCCCUUUAAAUCUCUCCCAUAUUUCUUGCAAGGUUCAGUCGGCUGCUGCUUGUAUUGUAAUAUUUCAUCAAUCUGCCU
This 106-nucleotide small nucleolar RNA is filed under the name Nicotiana sylvestris (wood tobacco). Its description in RNAcentral is "Plant small nucleolar RNA R71". It matches the Rfam family "Plant small nucleolar RNA R71". Rfam says of the family: R71 is a member of the C/D box family of snoRNAs containing the C (UGAUGA) and D (CUGA) box motifs. Multiple nearly identical copies of this snoRNA have been identified in Arabidopsis, and it is thought to function as a 2'-O-ribose methylation guide for 18S ribosomal RNA. The record is from Rfam by way of RNAcentral. Lineage: Eukaryota; Viridiplantae; Streptophyta; Magnoliopsida; Solanales; Solanaceae.